AUACGGAGGGUGCAAGCGUUAUUCGGAAUCACUGGGCGUAAAGGGUGCGUAGGCGGUUUGAUAAGUCUGAUGUGAAAUCCUAUGGCUCAACCAUAGAACUGCAUUGGAAACUGUCAGACUAGAAUACUGAAGGGGCAGAUGGAAUUAGUGGUGUAGGGGUAAAAUCCGUAGAUAUCACUAGGAAUACCGAAAGCGAAAGCGAUCUGCUGGGAAGCUAUUGACGCUGAGGCACGAAAGCGUGGGGAGCAAACGGGAUUAGAAACCCGGGUAGUCC
This 274-nucleotide ribosomal RNA is filed under the name uncultured bacterium. RNAcentral's name for it is "partial 16S ribosomal RNA". It matches the Rfam family "Bacterial small subunit ribosomal RNA", at positions 523 to 796 of the family's 1533-position model. The record is from RNAcentral.